This 389-nucleotide ribosomal RNA is filed under the name uncultured bacterium. RNAcentral describes it as "bacterial SSU rRNA". It matches the Rfam family "Bacterial small subunit ribosomal RNA", at positions 30 to 417 of the family's 1533-position model. The record is from RNAcentral.
AUUGAACGCUGGCGGCAUGCCUUACACAUGCAAGUCGAACGGCAGCACGGGAGCUUGCUCCUGGUGGCGAGUGGCGAACGGGUGAGUAAUACAUCGGAACGUACCCUGAAGUGGGGGAUAACGUAGCGAAAGUUAUGCUAAUACCGCAUAUUCUGUGAGCAGGAAAGAGGGGGAUCGCAAGACCUCUUGCUUUAGGAGCGGCCGAUGUCGGAUUAGCUAGUUGGUGAGGUAAAGGCUCACCAAGGCGACGAUCCGUAGCGGGUCUGAGAGGAUGAUCCGCCACACUGGGACUGAGACACGGCCCAGACUCCUACGGGAGGCAGCAGUGGGGAAUUUUGGACAAUGGGCGCAAGCCUGAUCCAGCCAUGCCGCGUGAGUGAAGAAGGCCU